Molecule: ribosomal RNA, 253 nt
Filed under: uncultured bacterium
Lineage: Bacteria
Description: partial 16S ribosomal RNA
Rfam family: Bacterial small subunit ribosomal RNA
Source: RNAcentral
UACAGAGGGUGCGAGCGUUAAUCGGAAUUACUGGGCGUAAAGCGCACGUAGGUGGCGACGUAAGUCGGGUGUGAAAGCCCCGGGCUCAACCUGGGAAUUGCAUUCGAGACUGCAUUGCUGGAGUACGGAAGAGGAAGGCGGAAUUCCCGGUGUAGCGGUGAAAUGCGUAGAUAUCGGGAGGAACAUCUGUGGUGUAGACAGCUUACUGGACCACUUCUGACGCUGAGACACGAAAGCGUGGGUAGCAAACAGG